This 254-nucleotide ribosomal RNA is filed under the name uncultured bacterium. Its description in RNAcentral is "partial 16S ribosomal RNA". It matches the Rfam family "Bacterial small subunit ribosomal RNA", at positions 524 to 776 of the family's 1533-position model. The record is from RNAcentral.
UACGUAGGGGGCAAGCGUUGUCCGGAUUUAUUGGGCGUAAAGAGCUCGUAGGCGGUUGGGUAAGUCGGGUGUGAAAACUCCAGGCUCAACUUGGAGAUGCCACCCGAUACUGCUCUGACUUGAGUUCGGUAGGGGAGUGGGGAAUUCCUGGUGUAGCGGUGAAAUGCGCAGAUAUCGGGAAGAACACCCGUGGCGAAGGCGGCUCUCUGGGACGGUACUGACGCUGAGACGCGAAAGCGUGGGGAGCGAACAGG